This 45-nucleotide non-coding RNA is filed under the name Echinostoma caproni. The record is from RNAcentral. Lineage: Eukaryota; Metazoa; Platyhelminthes; Trematoda; Plagiorchiida; Echinostomatidae.
GCACUGCUGACGAAUCCGAAAGAGGACGAAACAGCUGUUCAGUAC